Molecule: long non-coding RNA, 262 nt
Filed under: Elaeis guineensis (African oil palm)
Lineage: Eukaryota; Viridiplantae; Streptophyta; Magnoliopsida; Arecales; Arecaceae
Description: long non-coding RNA (EGUI_LNC060273)
Source: RNAcentral
AUACAAGGUGAUGAUAAUGGAUAACCUCAUACAUUAAUUAUAACAAAAAGAGAGGUUACAAGAGUCAUAAUAUAUAUCAAUGAGCAUAAAGCUCUCGUACAUUCAACAAAAUACCACAACUAAGUAGUAUGUAACCUAAAAAAUCUAAUACAAAAUGAUCAGAUCAGAUCAGUGAGAAUGGGCAUUGAGCUCAAGAUCAAGAUAAGUGAAACAUAAUCAGCCUCGACCUCGACUGAAAAGUCUGGUCCAAGUGAAAGAUGUC